This 76-nucleotide transfer RNA is filed under the name Herpetosiphonaceae bacterium. Its description in RNAcentral is "tRNA-Thr". It matches the Rfam family "tRNA". From Rfam's summary of the family: Transfer RNA (tRNA) molecules are approximately 80 nucleotides in length. Their secondary structure includes four short double-helical elements and three loops (D, anti-codon, and T loops). Further hydrogen bonds mediate the characteristic L-shaped molecular structure. tRNAs have two regions of fundamental functional importance: the anti-codon, which is responsible for specific mRNA codon recognition, and the 3' end, to which the tRNAs corresponding amino acid is attached (by aminoacyl-tRNA synthetases). tRNAs cope with the degeneracy of the genetic code in two manners: having more than one tRNA (with a specific anti-codon) for a particular amino acid; and 'wobble' base-pairing, i.e. permitting non-standard base-pairing at the 3rd anti-codon position. Lineage: Bacteria; Bacillati; Chloroflexota; Chloroflexia; Herpetosiphonales; Herpetosiphonaceae. The record is from RNAcentral.
GCCGCGUUAGCUCAGUUGGUAGAGCAGCUGCCUUGUAAUCAGCAGGUCGUCGGUUCGAGUCCGACACGCGGCUCCA